Pundamilia nyererei is the source of this 697-nucleotide long non-coding RNA. RefSeq lists it as uncharacterized. The record is from RefSeq and is a predicted model, not a curated record. The transcript is spliced from 3 exons. Lineage: Eukaryota; Metazoa; Chordata; Actinopteri; Cichliformes; Cichlidae.
CUGCAGCGUGUCUCAGGAGGUGUCACGAUGCAGUUUAACCUAUAAGCCGAAUUCUACAUGAAUCGCAACACUUGCAGGUAGAAGUGAGCAGAGCAAAGGACUACAACGUCAAGAUGGACAGAGAAAUUGCACUUGAAGCUUUGGGUGCAAUUUGCAAUGCCCAAAUCACUUCUGUUCAAAAACAAAGAGCAGACGCUCACGAUGGAGCUUUCCAAAGAGCAAGCUUUUCCUGCUCCGCUGCACCAACGCUGUCUGUAAAAACUCUCAUUCAUGCAAUCGCAGAUGGAAAUCAAACCUGCCCAAUGUCAAGAAACAACUUUGCCAGAAUUCAACAUGUUCUGCAAGAUGAAGUCAAACAGAAACCUGAUUGAUUUGAGCUCUCCGCUUAUCAAGUGGAGUCCUGAGGACAAGACUGAGAACAAUGCUCCCCUCAUCAACCUGUCCUUCUGAUCGUCAUCCUCCUUAAGUACUGGAUCUGUGCACAUUACUGAACCACCACCUCUCCGUCUUCAGGAACUCUAAUAAUCCAACUGAUUCUGAGUUUUUAAUCAGUGGAGUCUUUCCUACAGUGGAGUACACAAACAUAAAUGUUUUACAUAAAAUAUUCUGAAAUUGCUCAAGUGUCUCUACAACUAAUUGUACUUUUAUUUCUCUUGAUUUUGCUAUGUGAGUGAAGUUUUCCCCCCACCUUCUUCAA